UAGGGAAUCUUCCGCAAUGGGCGAAAGCCUGACGGAGCAACGCCGCGUGAGUGAUGAAGGUCUUCGGAUCGUAAAACUCUGUUAUUAGGGAAGAACAAAUGUGUAAGUAACUAUGCACGUCUUGACGGUACCUAAUCAGAAAGCCACGGCUAACUACGUGCCAGCAGCCGCGGUAAUACGUAGGUGGCAAGCGUUAUCCGGAAUUAUUGGGCGUAAAGCGCGCGUAGGCGGUUUUUUAAGUCUGAUGUGAAAGCCCACGGCUCAACCGUGGAGGGUCAUUGGAAACUGGAAAACUUGAGAGCAGAAGAGGAAAGGGGAAUUCCAUGUGUAGCGGUGAAAUGCGCAGGGAUAUGGAGGAACACCAGUGGCGAAGGCGACUUUCUGGUCUGUAACUGACGCUGAUGUGCGAAAGCGUGGGGAUCAAACAGG
Molecule: ribosomal RNA, 429 nt
Filed under: Actinomycetes bacterium
Lineage: Bacteria; Bacillati; Actinomycetota; Actinomycetes
Description: Actinobacteria bacterium partial 16S ribosomal RNA
Rfam family: Bacterial small subunit ribosomal RNA
Source: RNAcentral